RNAcentral lists this small RNA (117 nucleotides) under Marmota monax (woodchuck). Lineage: Eukaryota; Metazoa; Chordata; Mammalia; Rodentia; Sciuridae. The record is from RNAcentral.
GCUGGAUGUGGUGGUGCACACCUGUAGUCCCAGCUUCUUAGGAGACUGAGGCAGGGGAAUCACUAGAGCCCAGGAGUGUGAGGCCUGCCUGGGCCACAAAGCAAGACACUGUCUCAA